ACCUGGCUGGCUCAGUUGGUAGAGUAUAUGACUCUUGAUCUUGUGGUUGUGGAUUCAAGCCCCACUUUGGGUG
RNAcentral lists this transfer RNA (73 nucleotides) under Canis lupus familiaris (dog). It matches the Rfam family "tRNA". From Rfam's summary of the family: Transfer RNA (tRNA) molecules are approximately 80 nucleotides in length. The record is from Rfam by way of RNAcentral. Lineage: Eukaryota; Metazoa; Chordata; Mammalia; Carnivora; Canidae. RNAcentral also lists the same sequence under 1 other name.